UGAGGUUCUUUAACCUUUACAAUCAUCUCUGCUUUCGCAAAGACGUCUGCAGCGGUAGGAAGAAUGGAUGCGCCUACAGCGAUGUA
This 86-nucleotide small RNA is filed under the name Vibrio cholerae O1 biovar El Tor str. N16961. The record is from RNAcentral. Lineage: Bacteria; Pseudomonadati; Pseudomonadota; Gammaproteobacteria; Vibrionales; Vibrionaceae.